This 1207-nucleotide ribosomal RNA is filed under the name uncultured fungus. RNAcentral describes it as "eukaryotic LSU rRNA". The stretch from base 601 to 1207 matches the Rfam family "Eukaryotic large subunit ribosomal RNA", at positions 1 to 653 of the family's 3401-position model. The record is from RNAcentral. Lineage: Eukaryota; Fungi.
CUUGGUCAUUUAGAGGAAGUAAAAGUCGUAACAAGGUAAUCGUAGGUGAACCUGCGGUUGGAUCAUUACAAAAAUGUGAUUGUGCACUUCUUUCCGUAUGGAGGGAGGCACGAAUCCAAACCCCUUGUGAACUGUUAUUCGUACUUGGCAAGUGAUGCGCUUGUUGGUAUUCAGUUGAAUAUUCAACGAGUGUCCAGAGUUUCAAAUGGGCCUCCCAUUUGAAAGCUUGUCUUUUUCUUAAACCAAUUCUACUAUUUGUCUGAUCUAUAAAAAUUCAAAUUAUGAAACAACUUUUGGCAACGGAUCUCUUGGUUCUCGCAACGAUGAAGAACGCAGCGAAAUGCGAUACGUAUCAUGAAUUGCAGAACUCUGAAUGAUAAAUGUUUGAACGCACAUUGCGCCAGCUUUUAGUUGGCAUGUCUGUCUGAGAAUCUUAAAGUUCCUCUCCAAACAAAGUUUUUGGUUGGAGGCUCUUGACAGCUCCAUAUUUCAAAUAUGGGCUGUUGAAAUGCAAAACCUUUGCAACAGUUGUUGUUUAGGCACAGUUCUUUUGACAAACUCGAAAGAUACAAGUGUCCAAACAUUCGACAAAUUUAAACUUGGUCUCAGAUCAGACAGGAGGACCCGCUGAACUUAAGCAUAUCAAUAAGCGGAGGAAAAGAAACUAACAAGGAUUCCCUUAGUAACGGCGAGUGAAGUGGGAACAGCUCAAAUUUUAAAUCUACCUUCGGGUCGAAUUGUAGUUUCGAGAAGUGUUUUCGGACUGGGAGCAAGUUAAAGUCCCCAGGAUUUGGGCAUCACAGAGGGUGACAAUCCCGUGAAUGACUUGCUAUCCGGUUUAUGUGAUACACUUUCAAAGAGUCAGGUUGUUUGGGAAUGCAGCCUAAAAUGGGUGGUAAAUACCAUCUAAAGCUAAAUAAUGGCGAGAGACCGAUAGCGAACAAGUACCGUGAGGGAAAGAUGAAAAGAACUUUGAAAAGAGAGUUAAAAAGUGCUUGAAAUUGUCAAAAGGGAAGCGCUCAACACCAGUGAUGAAACUAGAAUUCAACGGUUCUUUGAGCCGCGCAUUUUCUAGUCUCAAGUCAACAUCAGUUUGGUUUGCGGGAAAAGAACUAAGGGAGGCACCUAGUGCAAUCUUAGCUGAUACCGUGGGCUAGACUGAGGUCUGCUAAUAGGAUGUUGACGAAAUGGUUUUGAACGUCCCGUC